GACGAACGCUGGCGGCGUGCCUAAUACAUGCAAGUAGAACGCUGAAGGAGGAGCUUGCUUCUCUGGAUGAGUUGCGAACGGGUGAGUAACGCGUAGGUAACCUGCCUGGUAGCGGGGGAUAACUAUUGGAAACGAUAGCUAAUACCGCAUAAUAUUGACUAUUGCAUGAUAGUCAGUUGAAAGGUGCAACUGCACCACUACCAGAUGGACCUGCGUUGUAUUAGCUAGUUGGUGGGGUAACGGCUCACCAAGGCGACGAUACAUAGCCGACCUGAGAGGGUGAUCGGCCACACUGGGACUGAGACACGGCCCAGACUCCUACGGGAGGCAGCAGUAGGGAAUCUUCGGCAAUGGACGGAAGUCUGACCGAGCAACGCCGCGUGAGUGAAGAAGGUUUUCGGAUCGUAAAGCUCUGUUGUAAGAAAAGAACGAGUGUGAGAGUGGAAAGCUCACACUGUGACGGUAUCUUAACAGAAAGGGACGGCUAACUACGUG
This 495-nucleotide ribosomal RNA is filed under the name uncultured bacterium. RNAcentral describes it as "partial 16S ribosomal RNA". It matches the Rfam family "Bacterial small subunit ribosomal RNA", at positions 28 to 507 of the family's 1533-position model. The record is from RNAcentral.